AGUAAGUUGUAUCGUGUCAGGAUGAACGCUAGCGGCAGGCUUAACACAUGCAAGUCGAGGGGCAGCGGGAUGUAGCAAUACAUUGCCGGCGACCGGCGGAUGGGUGCGUAACGCGUAUGCAACCUACCUUAUACAGGGGAAUAACCUUUCGAAAGGGAGACUAACACCCCAUAGUAUUGAUUUAAGGCAUCUUAGAUUAAUUAAAUAUUUAUAGGUAUAAGAUGGGCAUGCGUAUGAUUAGCUAGUUGGUAAGGUAACGGCUUACCAAGGCGACGAUCAUUAGGGGUUCUGAGAGGAAGGUCCCCCACACUGGUACUGAGACACGGACCAGACUCCUACGGGAGGCAGCAGUGAGGAAUAUUGGUCAAUGGACGCAAGUCUGAACCAAGCCAAGUCGCGUGAAGGAAGAAUGUCCUAUGGAUUGUAAACUUCUUUUGAAGGGGAAUAAAGUACGGUACGUGUACCGUUUUGUAUGUACCCUUCGAAUAAGGAUCGGCUAACUCCGUGCCAGCCGCCGC
RNAcentral lists this ribosomal RNA (518 nucleotides) under uncultured bacterium. RNAcentral's name for it is "bacterial SSU rRNA". It matches the Rfam family "Bacterial small subunit ribosomal RNA", at positions 1 to 518 of the family's 1533-position model. The record is from RNAcentral.